This 985-nucleotide long non-coding RNA is filed under the name Calidris pygmaea (Spoon-billed sandpiper). RNAcentral describes it as "lncRNA (ENSCPGG00000002647.1)". Lineage: Eukaryota; Metazoa; Chordata; Aves; Charadriiformes; Scolopacidae. The record is from RNAcentral.
GUCCAUUUGUGGGCUGCCCCACACUUGUGGGGCUGGAGGGGGUCGGUCCUGCCGUGGGUCACACCGUGGUCCCGCUGUGGGUCGCUCCGUGGGGCUCCUGUGGGUCCCGCCGUGGGUCUGACCCACAUCUUCCUGUGGCUGCCGCUGUGGGUCAGUCCGUGUCCUACUUGUGGGUCAGACCCCCCACUUAUGGGUCAGACCCCCCACUUAUGGGUCAGUCCGUGUCCUACUUGUGGGUCAGACCCCCCACUUGUGGGUCAGUCCGGGUCCUACUUGUGGGUCAGACCCCCCACUUAUGGGUCAGUCCGUGUCCUACUUGUGGGUCAGACCCCCCACUUGUGGGUCAGUCCGCCUCCUACUUGUGGGUCAGAGCCCCACUCGUGGGUCACCCCCUGCCCCACUUGGGGGUCGGUGCUGCGCCGUGGCUCAAUCCGUGUCCUACUUGUGGGUCAGACCCCCCCCCACUUAUGGGUCAGACCCCCCCCACUUAUGGGUCACCCCCUGCCCCACUGCCAGCUCAGUCCGUUCUCCGCCCCGUCCCUCGCCGUCCCUCCGUGGGUCCGGGCCUCCGUGGGGCGGCGGCGCCGUGGGGCAGCGGUGGGGGGGUCACUGUGGGGCGCCGUGGGGCGGCGCCGUGGGGCAGAGCUCGAGGGAAAGGGCCUCGAAAGCCUCCAACAUGGCGGCGCGGACCCGCUCCGUCAGCGCCGGGACGUCCGUGGGGCCCAGCCCCCGCGUGGGGAGGGGGGGCAGCACCUGGAUGACGCACUCACCUGGGGGGCAGGAUGUGGGGCUGACCCAUAGCGACCCAUAGAUCCGCCCCAUAGCGACCCAUAGCUGCCCCAUAGCGACCCAUAGCGACCCAUAGAUCCAGCCCCUAAGGCUGCCCCAUAGCGCCCCUGCCCCCCAACCUCGUCGUCAGCAACAACCAGAGGUCCCCUGAACUCCUGGGUAGGGCUGCCCCAUAGAUCCGCCCCAUAGCGACCCA